GUGUCAGCCGCCGCGGUAAAACGUAGGAGGCAAGCGUUAUCCGGAUUUACUGGGCGUAAAGCGCGUGCAGGCGGUCAAGUAAGUCGGACGUGAAAGCUCCCGGCUCAACUGGGAGAGGCCGUUCGAUACUACUCGACUUGAGGGCAGUAGAGGAAGGUGGAAUUCCGGGUGUAGCGGUGAAAUGCGUAGAUAUCCGGAGGAACACCUGUGGCGAAAGCGGCCUUCUGGACUGCUCCUGACGCUCAGACGCGAAAGCUAGGGGAGCGAACGGGAUUAGAUACCCGUGUAGUCC
Molecule: ribosomal RNA, 292 nt
Filed under: uncultured bacterium
Lineage: Bacteria
Description: partial 16S ribosomal RNA
Rfam family: Bacterial small subunit ribosomal RNA
Source: RNAcentral